Molecule: long non-coding RNA, 2465 nt
Organism: Equus caballus (horse)
Lineage: Eukaryota; Metazoa; Chordata; Mammalia; Perissodactyla; Equidae
Source: Ensembl
GUCUGAUCCAAUUAAACUGAACCAUGAAGAGAGAUUUAUUGAGACUUUUGUGAAACAGCAUUGCUCAAUCAUCUGAAAAAUCUACCAGAAGUCAUGAAUUUGAAGCCUGGAGCUGUUACCACAUAUUUUCCUGAGUGUGAGAAUCCAGACUUAGGUGAAAAAGAAAUCUGUCGUACUUGAAGAGAGAGAGAAACUGGGUCUUUGCCAAGCGUAGCCACUAAAUCAAAGCAAACCCAAAGCUUGCUCUACCUACGGACUUUGUAGUUUGAAGUGACAUUUAUUUGCAGAAUAUGAGAUGGAGCAAGAAGAAAUUUAGGCCUGAAAAGAAUGACCAACUGUGGACUGAACAAUUGCUGAGAGUCAAGUGGCUUGGGAAGCGGACUCUGCAAUGGAGAUUUGCCUGCACCAUAGUGGAAAGAGGAUUGGCAGAGGGAUAGGAAGCUGCAACACAGUCACAAGAAAGGCCUCAGCCAUUCCACAGGGGUGCUGGAGCUGGAUGCUUGCCCAUUUAGGGUGUCCCAAUUGGGGUGAGGGGCCUAGGCCUUUAUCCCCUCCCCCCCCCACUGCCCUGUCACUGGAAGCAGACUGCCUCCGGGAAAGUGGUGUGACCCUGGCUAUGGCAACUUUUUUCACAGAAGAUUAACAACCUGGAGGGGAAACACAGAACUAAGUUCCUAGCUGUCAACACUCCAGAUUGCUGGAGCCAUGGAUCUCAGUCCUGGAGAGGAGUGGGAAGGAUCUGAGGGGCAUGGCCCAGGAUCAUUGCACAAGGACACAAACACUCUUUAAAUCCAGAUGGAUGUGUAGAUACAAGGGCAGAACCUGCAGCAAGAGUUCGGUGUACACAGAUCUACCAGAAACAGGUCCUGUCUAUCACAUAUUUGUCAGCUUCAGCGAAUUUGAGAUCUAGACUUCUGUUAAUGAUUCUGGAAGUGAGUAUGCUGGUAAUAUUUACGUUCUCUGUUGUUGUGACUUUGCUGUUUUUUCUAUCCCUUCACAAGGUGGGAAAACACUUUGAGAAGCCAUAGCUAACCACAUACGUUUUAUCCUGGAAGUUUAAAUCAUUUUGUUUAUGUGUGGCGAAAAAAAAUAUGCAGUUUGUCUGGGAGAGAGGUUAAACUGUUUGCUUACGAUAGUGUAAUUUUUAAAGAUAUAGCAGCAACAUGAAUAAUUUCUUAUAAUUACUUUCACCAUGUCACAACUAAUUUGGCUCAAUGAUGAUGUACUAGUUUGCUAGGGCUGCCAUCACACAGUGCCAUAGAUUGGGUGGCUUAAACAACAGAAGCUUAUUUUCCCCAGGUUCUGGAGGUUAGAAGUCGAAGAUCAAGGUAUCAGCAAGGUUGAGUUUUCCUGAGGCCUCUUUUCUUGGCUUGUAGAUGGCCUUCCUCUUCUUCUGUCUACACGCGGUCUUUCCUCUGUGAAUAGCUGUGUUCUAAUCUACUCUUCUCAUAAAGAUAUCAGUUGUAUUGGACUAGAUGCCAUGCCAAUGACCUCAGUUAAACUUAAUUACCUCUUUAAAACCUUUCCAAAUAUGGUUGCAUUCUGAGGGACUGAGGAUUAAGGCUUCAGCAUAUAAAUUUGAAGAGGACACAAUUCAGCCCGUAAGAGAUGUUAAGAGCAAUCCAGAACGAUUUUUCAAGAAUUGAUUAAUAUGAUACUAUUGCAUUUUAUUGAAAAGAUAAUUAUCUUUUUUAAAUUGCUACUAAUUUAUUUUAAAUGUAAAUUCAUACAUCAGACUGAAAUUGUUGUUAGUUCACAUAAUAUUUAAGCUACGCAUUCAAACAUUAUGCUUCAAGUUCCUAUCAAGAGCAUGAGCAUUCAUUAUCAAGUCAAAAUAAAAAUGAAUUGGUACCAGAAAAAAAAAAUCUUUCAGUGGAUUUUAUAAAAGUUGCUUUAAAAUUUAGCAGUGAGGACAAUUAAAAGAACUAGCAUCUACAUUCAGAUUCCAAUUCCAUUGUCUGUUUGAAACGUGGACAGAUAAAAUGCCUUCAAGAAAAUGUUUGUAAUUAUUGUACUAAUGUGCUUCAUAUUCUGCAUGUUCAGGGAAUGCAACAAAAUCUUAAGUAAUAGUGUUUCAAAACCAAAGCUAUUGUUCCAUCAUUAUCAGCAUUCUAAUGGUCCCUUGCCAACAAUAUACUGGGACAUUUUAAAAAGCUUUGCAAACAGUAGUAAGAAAUGAAUGCUUCUUAUCAUUGUUCAAAGAAAACCCACAGAAAAGAAUUUAAAUAUCUUAAGUAAAAUAUGUUAAUAAUCCUGACUUCUAUAAUAACUCUCUUUAUUGCAAGAGUUUAUUAAAAACAAAUGCAUAUGGUCAUUUAGAAGGAACAAGAAAAGUUAUCUUUGGAAUUUGAAAAUAAAAUAUACCCUUUAAAGUCAUAUAACAAUAUUUUGUCCUGUGCUUUUUUAUUCUAAAUUCUUUAGUAUUUAUAAAAUAAAUUUUAUAUGUCAUAUUUCAUGUUUAUUAG